Molecule: long non-coding RNA, 572 nt
Organism: Cavia porcellus (domestic guinea pig)
Lineage: Eukaryota; Metazoa; Chordata; Mammalia; Rodentia; Caviidae
Exons: 2
Source: RefSeq, a predicted model, not a curated record
AUUCCACAAGGGCAAAGAGGGCUGGAGAUCUCUCAGAGGACUGGGAUCAGGGAGCAGAGCUCUGGGGACCUCUUAGAACUUCACAGUCCUCCCCAGCCAUGGUCUUCUCCACAUAUCCUAGGACACAAAGCGGAGGUAUAAGGAGGAUUAAGAGUCAACUAAUUAUAGAAAGCUGAACAUUUCAGAGUGUUUCACCAACCCAUGCCUGAUGGAGCUCUGGUUUUCUGAUGAGAAAAGUGAUAAGCAUUCAUUGUGGGAGACGUCAAAAUGCAGAAAAAUAUAAAGAAGGAAACAAAAAGCACCGCAACUCAAAGAUAAUCACUGAUAACAUUUUGGAGUAUUUCCUUCGAGACUCAUCAGCUUGCAUUCUCUCUCUGUGUCUCUUUCUCUGUCUCUCUCUGUCUCUGUCUCUCUCUCUCUCUAUUUCUCUGUCUCUUUGUCUCUCUCUGGCUCUUUCUGUCUCUCUGUCUCGCUAUCUCUCUCUCUGUCUCUGUCUCUGUCACUCUCUUUCUCUCUCUCUGUCUCUGUCUUCGUCUCUGUGUCACAAUAAAAGCAUAAGUAUGUACAGUAUA